This 1198-nucleotide long non-coding RNA is filed under the name Homo sapiens (human). Its description in RNAcentral is "HSALNT0310289". Lineage: Eukaryota; Metazoa; Chordata; Mammalia; Primates; Hominidae. The record is from RNAcentral.
AGCCGCCGGGGCCGCCUAGAGAAGAGGCUGUGCUUCGGCGCUCCGGCUCCUCAGAGAGCCUCGGCUAGCUGGGAUUCUGUCCCUGACCGUCUUCACAGUCCAGGUGAUCUUGACUACUGCUUUACAGAGAAUUGGAUCUGAGGUGUGGAAACAGGAAGAGAACUAGAACUGGAAGUAAAGCAUUGAAGAUGUGACUGAAUUGCUGCAAUCUCAUGAUCAAAUUUGAAUGGAUGAGGAGUUGCUUUUUAGGGAUGAGCAAAGAAAGUGGUUUCUCGAGAUGGAAUCUACUGGUUGCUCCUUGAGGGCAGGACAGUUCUUAUGGCUUUAUCCGUUGCGUAAGCACAGAGAGGUCUGCGAGGUCAAAACUAUUGUCAUGAUAGCAAGAUGCCUGUCUUUUUCAUUUAUUCUCACGGUGUGCAGAGGCUACAUGAUGUGUGAUGACAUCCUCAUUGAUGUUAAUGAAUGGUGCUAUACUUGAAUUUUCUAAGGUGUCAUUAGCAAUUCUCCUGCCUCAGCCUCCUGCAUAACUGGGACUACAGGGAAGCACCAUUUUCCACAAAACUCUCAAGAAGGACUUGUUGCAACUGGAAAAGCAAUUAAAUGUGAAUCGUGAUCCAGGAGAAAGUAACAACUCACAUAACUCCCAAAUUAAAAGUUUUCCAAAGAUAUAUCAUUUUUUUUCUCUUGGCCUUUUAAGAAACUAGCCAACAAAUACUCUUGACAGGUUUGUGUUUGGUUUUGAAAACACACACCUUAGUGUACUGAAAGAAAAACAAUUUCUUUUAAUUUGGUUUGUUGGUCCCACACCCCAUCUAUCAAUGUAUGUGCUAUUUACAAAUAAGUUCUAUACAGUAUUUUUGCAGUACCUUUGAUAAUUCCUAGACCUCUAUUUUCAUUCUGUGUAUUAAUGUGAAUAACAGAUGGAUAUUUUAAUAUUUAAGGCAGAUGGUAAACUUUCCUAUAGGUCUUGUGAGACUUCGUCUUAUAGGCUGAACACCAUUCACAAAAUGUAAUAAUGCUUCAUUCCUUCAGGUUGAGGUAAAGAACUUGAGCAACUGGAUUAGCAAAGCUGCAAAGAAUGAAAUGUGGCCUAAGAUGUAAUUAUGUUCUCUGCCCUUCCUUUGGGCCAGGGUAGUUUUGCACUUGACACAAUGGAAAAUAGGCCAUAAAGCCUGAAAAUAAAAUGUUCUAAACCCCA